This is a long non-coding RNA of Onychostoma macrolepis, 380 nucleotides long. RefSeq lists it as uncharacterized. Lineage: Eukaryota; Metazoa; Chordata; Actinopteri; Cypriniformes; Cyprinidae. The record is from RefSeq and is a predicted model, not a curated record. The transcript is spliced from 3 exons.
GGAUGACUUGUGGAUUAUUGUGAUGCUUUUAUCAGCUGUCUGAACUCUCGAUCUGAUGGCACCCAUUCACUUCAGAGAAUCUACAGGGGGGCAGGUUUACAGGACCAAUCACAGGCUGCACUGCUGGCUGAUGAGUCCCGUCUUGUCCUGCUGGCAUCAAAGAGGGCCAAAAAGAGUAGCCAAUUGGAGGAAGAGGUGGUACAUGGGAGCCGUAGUGAUGGUGAUGAUGGACAACCCCUCCUCUCAUUGUUGAAUGUUGAAGGGAAAGGUUUGUGGAGGUGGGAUUUGUGCUAUGAGAGGCUGUUGCUGUGGUAACUGCUGGAUAAUGGUGGCUGGCUGUUGAGGAACCUUGCGGGAGGAAAAAUAUAAGUUAGAGGGCC